CAUAGCGACUAUCGUGGCAUAUCAAUAAGCGGAGGAAAAGAAACUAACAAGGAUUCCCCUUAGUAACGGCGAGUGAAGCGGGAAGAGCUCAAAUUUGAAAUCUUCAAGGGUUUACCUUUACGAAUUGUAGUUUAAAGAAGUGUUUUCUGUUGGAGUUUUGGUAAAAGUUCUUUGGAAUAGGACAUCAUAGAGGGUGAGAAUCCCGUAUUUGACCAUUAUUUUCAGCUGUGUGAUACACUUUCAAAGGAGUCGGAUUGUUUGGGAAUGCAGUCCAAAAUGGGUGGUAAAUUUCAUCUAAAGCUAAAUAUUGGCGAGAGACCGAUAGCGAACAAGUACCGUGAGGGAAAGAUGAAAAGAACUUUGAAAAGAGAGUUAAACAGUACGUGAAAUUGUCAAAAGGGAAGCGUUUGACACCAGUGUUGUUUAGUUGAAAAUCAAUUCAAUAAUUUUUGAUUCUAAGUAGUAUUGACUUCAUCAGCUUGCUGCUUUCUUCUCAGGAAAUUAUUGAAUGCACUUUUCAGUUAACAAGUCAACAUCAAUUUCUUUUGUUGUAAAAGGGUAAGAGGAAGGUGGCUUACGCUUCGGCGUAAGUGUUUAUAGCCUUUUACCUCUGCAAUCGGAGAGAUUGAGGACAGCAGCGUAGACUCUUCGGGGUUAGAUACACUUGUGCUAAGCUAUAGCCUUGUAUAGACAACUUGUUGACUAUGCUCAGUCAUGUAGCUUACUCGCUUGUGCUAUUUUACCUACGCUUAGGAUGUUGACGCGCGUGUGUGCGUG
Molecule: ribosomal RNA, 777 nt
Filed under: uncultured Neocallimastigales
Lineage: Eukaryota; Fungi; Neocallimastigomycota; Neocallimastigomycetes; Neocallimastigales
Description: partial large subunit ribosomal RNA
Rfam family: Eukaryotic large subunit ribosomal RNA
Source: RNAcentral